This 966-nucleotide ribosomal RNA is filed under the name Litchfieldella rifensis. Its description in RNAcentral is "bacterial SSU rRNA". The stretch from base 1 to 859 matches the Rfam family "Bacterial small subunit ribosomal RNA", at positions 45 to 873 of the family's 1533-position model. The record is from RNAcentral. Lineage: Bacteria; Pseudomonadati; Pseudomonadota; Gammaproteobacteria; Oceanospirillales; Halomonadaceae.
ACUGUUCGUGUCAGUGCUUAGCGAGCAGCACGGGGAGCUUGCUCCCUGGUGGCGAGCGGCGGACGGGUGAGUAAUGCAUAGGAAUCUGCCCGGUAGUGGGGGAUAACGUGGGGAAACCCACGCUAAUACCGCAUACGUCCUACGGGAGAAAGCGGAGGAUCUUCGGACUUCGCGCUAUCGGAUGAGCCUAUGUCGGAUUAGCUAGUUGGUAAGGUAACGGCUUACCAAGGCGACGAUCCGUAGCUGGUCUGAGAGGAUGAUCAGCCACACUGGGACUGAGACACGGCCCAGACUCCUACGGGAGGCAGCAGUGGGGAAUAUUGGACAAUGGGCGAAAGCCUGAUCCAGCCAUGCCGCGUGUGUGAAGAAGGCUUUCGGGUUGUAAAGCACUUUCAGCGAGGAAGAAAGCCUGGUGGUUAAUACCCAUCAGGAAGGACAUCACUCGCAGAAGAAGCACCGGCUAACUCCGUGCCAGCAGCCGCGGUAAUACGGAGGGUGCGAGCGUUAAUCGGAAUUACUGGGCGUAAAAGCGCGCGUAGGUGGCUUGGCACGCCGGUUGUGAAAGCCCCGGGCUCAACCUGGGAACGGCAUCCGGAACGGCCAGGCUAGAGUGCAGGAGAGGAAGGUAAAAUUUCCCGGUGUACCGGUGAAAAUGCGUAAAAGAUCGGGGAGGAAUACCAAUUGGCGGAAGGCGGCCUUCUGGCCUGACACCUGACCCUUGAGGGGGCAAAAGCGUGGGGUAGCAGACAGGAAUUAAAUACCCCUGGCAAUUCCAACUCCGUUAAACAAUUUUCACUAUCCGUUGGGGACCUUUUAGGGGAUUUAUUGGUCCCAUUCAACCCCAAUAAGUCGACCCGCCUGGGGGGAAGCACGGGCCCCAAGGGUUAAAAACCCUCAGAAUGUAUAUUUGAACGGGGGGGGCGCGCGCCAAAACACUCGGUGGGGAAUCCGAGUGGUGGGUGUUAU